Molecule: transfer RNA, 76 nt
Filed under: Planctomycetaceae bacterium
Lineage: Bacteria; Pseudomonadati; Planctomycetota; Planctomycetia; Planctomycetales; Planctomycetaceae
Also listed under: 1 other name
Description: tRNA-Val
Rfam family: tRNA
About the family: Transfer RNA (tRNA) molecules are approximately 80 nucleotides in length.
Source: RNAcentral
GGGCGUAUAGCUCAACGGUUAGAGCGCCUGCCUUACACGCAGGAUGUUGGGGGUUCGAAUCCCUCUACGCCCACCA